Molecule: ribosomal RNA, 578 nt
Filed under: uncultured bacterium
Lineage: Bacteria
Also listed under: 1 other name
Description: bacterial SSU rRNA
Rfam family: Bacterial small subunit ribosomal RNA
Source: RNAcentral
CCUACGGGAGGCAGCAGUAAGGAAUAUUGGGCAAUGGACGAAAGUCUGACCCAGCCAUGCCGCGUGAAGGAUGAAGGUCCUCUGGAUUGUAAACUUCUUUUAUCUGGGGCGAAAACCUCCCUUUCUAGGGGGCUUGACAGUACCAGAAGAAUAAGCACCGGCUAACUCCGUGCCAGCAGCCGCGGUAAUACGGAGGGUGCAAGCGUUAUCCGGAUUCACUGGGUUUAAAGGGUGCGUAGGCGGGCAGGUAAGUCAGUGGUGAAAUCCCCGAGCUUAACUCGGGAACUGCCGUUGAUACUAUCUGUCUUGAAUACCGUGGAGGUGAGCGGAAUAUGUCAUGUAGCGGUGAAAUGCUUAGAUAUGACAUAGAACACCAAUUGCGAAGGCAGCUCGCUACACGGUCAUUGACGCUGAGGCACGAAAGCGUGGGGAUCAAACAGGAUUAGAUACCCUGGUAGUCCACGCCCUAAACGAUGAUUACUCGACAUCAGCGAUACACUGUUGGUGUCUAAGCUAACGCAUUAAGUAAUCCACCUGGGAAGUACGAUCGCAAGAUUGAAACUCAAAGGAAUUGACGG